GAUGAACGCUAGCGGCAGGCCUAAUACAUGCAAGUCGGACGGGAUUCAGGAGCUUGCUUCUGAUGAGAGUGGCGCACGGGUGCGUAACACGUAUGUAACCUACCUUUAUCAGGGGGAUAGCCUCUCGAAAGAGAGAUUAAGCCCGCAUAAAAUCACAGCACAGCAUUGUGUAAUGAUCAAAUAUUUAUAGGAUAAAGAUGGGCAUGCGGAACAUUAGCUAGAUGGCGGGGUAACGGCCCACCAUGGCGACGAUGUUUAGGGGAUCUGAGAGGAUGGCCCCCCACACUGGUACUGAGACACGGACCAGACGCCUACGGGAGGCAGCAGUAAGGAAUAUUGGUAAAUGGGCGGAAGCCUGAACCAGCCAUGCCGCGUGCAGGAAGACGGCCCUACGGGUUGUAAACUGCUUUUAUACGGGAAUAAACCCAGAUACGUGUAUCUGGCUGAAUGUACUGUAAGAAUAAGGAUCGGCUAACUCCGUG
This 482-nucleotide ribosomal RNA is filed under the name uncultured bacterium. Its description in RNAcentral is "partial 16S ribosomal RNA". It matches the Rfam family "Bacterial small subunit ribosomal RNA", at positions 28 to 507 of the family's 1533-position model. The record is from RNAcentral.